UACGGGGGGAGCAAGCGUUGUUCGGAUUUACUGGGCGUAAAGGCGCGUAGGCGGCCAGCGCAAGUCGGUUGUGAAAUCUCCGGGCUUAACUCGGAAAGGUCAACUGAUACUGCGCGGCUAGAGUGCAGAAGGGGCAACUGGAAUUCUCGGUGUAGCGGUGAAAUGCGUAGAUAUCGAGAGGAACACCUGCGGCGAAGGCGGGUUGCUGGGCUGACACUGACGCUGAGUGCGCGAAAGCCAGGGAGCGAACGGG
Molecule: ribosomal RNA, 253 nt
Filed under: uncultured bacterium
Lineage: Bacteria
Description: partial 16S ribosomal RNA
Rfam family: Bacterial small subunit ribosomal RNA
Source: RNAcentral